UACGUAGGGUGCGAGCGUUAAUCGGAAUUACUGGGCGUAAAGCGUGCGCAGGCUGUUUUGUAAGUCAGAUGUGAAAUCCCCGAGCUCAACUUGGGAACUGCGUUUGAAACUACAAGACUAGAAUAGGUCAGAGGGGGGUAGAAUUCCACGUGUAGCAGUGAAAUGCGUAGAGAUGUGGAGGAAUAUCAAUGGCGAAGGCAGCCCCCUGGGAUCAUAUUGACGCUCAUGCACGAAAGCGUGGGGAGCAAACAGG
This 253-nucleotide ribosomal RNA is filed under the name uncultured bacterium. RNAcentral describes it as "partial 16S ribosomal RNA". It matches the Rfam family "Bacterial small subunit ribosomal RNA", at positions 524 to 776 of the family's 1533-position model. The record is from RNAcentral.